This 432-nucleotide ribosomal RNA is filed under the name Triticum aestivum (bread wheat). RNAcentral's name for it is "partial small subunit ribosomal RNA". The record is from RNAcentral. Lineage: Eukaryota; Viridiplantae; Streptophyta; Magnoliopsida; Poales; Poaceae.
AUGGCCUCCCCCUCAGAUGCUAACUCGGCUACGAGCGGAGGUGCUUCGGCGGCCGCUAACGCCGCCCUGGAAGAAUUCUUCGAUCAACUGGAUCUGAACGACGAGGAGUUCAAUGAUGUUGAGAUUGAUGAAGAGGAUCCCGAAAUCAAAGAGACUGUACGGUGGAUAGCCCUAGCUAGGGUUCACACCGACAAGAAUUUCUCGCCGGCAGCUUUCUAAAAGGACAUGAGGGCGGCCUGGAAUCCGGCGCAGCGGGUAAGAUUUCGCCCGGUCGGACCUAACAGAUUCGUUGUCCAAGCUUCUUGCCUGGGCAACUGGGAGAGGAUGAUGAUGCAAGGCCCUUGGCUCUUCCGCAACAUGGUGGUUUUGAUGUGUCCGUACGAUGGUUUCACCAAGGCGGGUGAUGUAGUUUUUGAUCAUAUGCCCAUCUAG